This 253-nucleotide ribosomal RNA is filed under the name uncultured bacterium. Its description in RNAcentral is "partial 16S ribosomal RNA". It matches the Rfam family "Bacterial small subunit ribosomal RNA", at positions 524 to 776 of the family's 1533-position model. The record is from RNAcentral.
UACAGAGGUCUCAAGCGUUGUUCGGAUUCAUUGGGCGUAAAGGGUGCGUAGGUGGCGCCGUAAGUCAGGUGUGAAAUUUCGGAGCUUAACUCCGAAACUGCAUUUGAUACUGCGGUGCUUGAGGACUGGAGAGGAGACUGGAAUUCAUGGUGUAGCAGUGAAAUGCGUAGAUAUCAAGUGGAACACCAGUGGCGAAGGCGAGUCUCUGGACAUUUCCUGACGCUGAGGCACGAAAGCCAGGGGAGCAAACGGG